GCAAAAGUAAUGAUAAGGACAAUAGUAUUUUUUUACGGAUUUCAGAGAGGGAGCCCAUGGCUGAAAAGCUCCUAUUUCGGAUUAAAUACUUACCACCUUUAAACUUCAGCAGUGAACACCUUGUAAAGGUAUGUAACUGUUGACGGAAAACAGCCGUUACCUGUCCUAAAGUCACUUUUCAUCAUAGGUUUAUGAUAAGUGAAAAAUUGGGUGGAACCACGUGUAUACCAAACUCGUCCCUUUU
RNAcentral lists this non-coding RNA (244 nucleotides) under Neobacillus massiliamazoniensis. Its description in RNAcentral is "Bacillus sp. LF1 T-box". It matches the Rfam family "T-box leader". From Rfam's summary of the family: Uncharged tRNA acts as the effector for transcription antitermination of genes in the T-box leader family. Lineage: Bacteria; Bacillati; Bacillota; Bacilli; Caryophanales; Bacillaceae. The record is from RNAcentral.